GUGUUCUUCUCUCUGAUUCACAGUGAGGUCUCGGAAGAAAACUGCAUCAACUCAGCUGACCAGAAGGCUGCUGAGUGACUGGAAAUGUUCCUGAAGAGUGUAUGCUGUGGCAGGUAACAUCUGGAUCUCCCACAUCAGAUGGUGAGAUCUGACAAUUGUGACCAAGUUUAUUUGUAAAGAUUUGCUGCAUCCAUGCAAGGGAAAAGCAGAGCAGCUGGCCUAUAGCAAGGGAAAGCAUUAAGAAUCAAAAUAGAAUCGAACGGAAGACUUCCUGAAGCAGACAUACAGUGUACUUCUCCCAGAAUACAACAAUAGGA
Molecule: long non-coding RNA, 317 nt
Organism: Lagopus leucura (white-tailed ptarmigan)
Lineage: Eukaryota; Metazoa; Chordata; Aves; Galliformes; Phasianidae
Exons: 3
Source: RefSeq, a predicted model, not a curated record